UACGUAGGGUGCGAGCGUUAAUCGGAAUUACUGGGCGUAAAGCGUGCGCAGGCGGUUUUGUAAGCCGGAUGUGAAAUCCCCGGGCUUAACCUGGGAACUGCGUUUGAAACUACAAGGCUAGAGUGUGACAGAGGGGGGUGGAAUUCCACGUGUAGCAGUGAAAUGCGUAGAGAUGUGGAGGAACACCGAUGGCGAAGGCAGCCCCCUGGGUUAACACUGACGCUCAGGCACGAAAGCGUGGGGAGCAAACAGG
This 253-nucleotide ribosomal RNA is filed under the name uncultured bacterium. Its description in RNAcentral is "partial 16S ribosomal RNA". It matches the Rfam family "Bacterial small subunit ribosomal RNA", at positions 524 to 776 of the family's 1533-position model. The record is from RNAcentral.